This 459-nucleotide ribosomal RNA is filed under the name uncultured bacterium. RNAcentral's name for it is "partial 16S ribosomal RNA". It matches the Rfam family "Bacterial small subunit ribosomal RNA", at positions 338 to 795 of the family's 1533-position model. The record is from RNAcentral.
CCUACGGGUGGCAGCAGUGAGGAAUAUUGGUCAAUGGGCGAGAGCCUGAACCAGCCAAGUCGCGUGAGGGAGGACGGUCCUAUGGAUUGUAAACCUCUUUUGUCGGGGAGCAACGGGCCAGAGUUGUGCCCUCUGAGAGUACCCGAAGAAAAAGCAUCGGCUAACUCCGUGCCAGCAGCCGCGGUAAUACGGAGGAUGCGAGCGUUAUCCGGAUUUAAUGGGUGUAAAGGGAGCGUAGGCGGCAGGGCAAGUCCGGCGUGAAAACCCAUGGGUUAAACAUGGAACUGCUGUUGAAACUGGGGAGCUAGAGUGCACGAGAGGUAAGCGGAAUGCGUGGUGUAGCGGUGAAAUGCUUAGAUAUUAGGAGGAACCCCGAUGGCGAAGGCAGCUUACUGGUCUAUAACUGACGUUGAGGCACGAAAGCGUGGGGAGCAAACAGGAUUAGAUACCCCAGUAGUC